CAGUUUGAGGCCUGACACUCGGACACUCCUGCUCCCUGGCCCUGGGAGAUCAGCAUUCCUUACCAUCAACCUCCUCGGGGAGAGCUCGAGUCCAAGUUCCGAGCUGGCUUCCACACGAGGACGCACGCAGCUCCCGCGUCAGACUAUUCCACCAAUGCCCCUACCGGAAGCUGCCUUGGCAGCUAUGUCUUCUGGGAAAAGUAGUCCGAGAGGAAAGAACUGCGGCGUUCAACGCGCGAUGCUGAGCAAUGCACCUGCGCAGUUUCACUCAGGCCCGUAGUGACGUCAUAACCUCCUCGGAUUCUUUCCACCUCUUUGCGUCUGGAUUUGAGGAUCUCGAAUUCCUCUAAGGGCAGAUCUCGGGCCUGACACAGGGACUGUCCCUGCUCCCUCAACGUGGCCUGUGAGGUUGUGGUGUGAGGUGUGUUUUGUGUGAAUCCGCAUGUGCGCGUAUCCGAGGGUCAAUAUCUAGGAAGUUACAAGCUUCAGGUGUGCUUCUCUGCAUCUUUCCUACUUCCCAGAAGUCUCUUCCAAGAGUAACCAAAAUACACAGUCAAGCUAAGAUGUCACUGCAGCAUCUCCUCUUCCUUCUGAUUUUCAGCCAAACUGAAGCACAGGUGGGCAUCAUGUGAUUAAUUAAUGAGACAUAUUCCCAGUCUCCAAGUUGUUCCUGUGUCUCGUGCUGUGCUCACCUGUAGAUGCUCUACUGGAUGGUCGUGGCUCUGGGCCAGGAUUAUAGUAACUGAAGAACCAAAAGAUGUCUGUACUCCAACCCUUUGUGAAACAGAAGAUCAUCAAAAAGAGGACCAAGAAGUUCAUCUGGCAUCAGUCAGACCGAUAUGUCAAAAUUAAGUGGAAACCCAGAGACACUGACAACAGGGAAAAAAGUAUGCUGGGGGAGAAAGUUAGCAAGAUGGUGGAGCAAGAAGUUCUAAAAUCCUGUUGCCCAAAAGUGACUUAAAAUAACAAGCAGAAACAGGUAAACCCAAUUUCCUCAGGACUCCAGAAAUCUGUGAAAAGUUUACAGCAACCAAGCAAAUGCUGAACCAAGAAAAGGCAAAGUAAAAAUGGUAGAAAAAUCUCAUAGCACCUCUGCUGGCCCUUCCUCACUCCUCUCCCAGCUCAGUA
RNAcentral lists this long non-coding RNA (1128 nucleotides) under Dasypus novemcinctus (nine-banded armadillo). Its description in RNAcentral is "lncRNA (ENSDNOG00000052953.1)". Lineage: Eukaryota; Metazoa; Chordata; Mammalia; Cingulata; Dasypodidae. The record is from RNAcentral.